Molecule: transfer RNA, 65 nt
Filed under: Felis catus (domestic cat)
Lineage: Eukaryota; Metazoa; Chordata; Mammalia; Carnivora; Felidae
Also listed under: 2 other names
Rfam family: tRNA
About the family: Transfer RNA (tRNA) molecules are approximately 80 nucleotides in length. Their secondary structure includes four short double-helical elements and three loops (D, anti-codon, and T loops).
Source: Rfam by way of RNAcentral
GCCUGGGUGGCUCAGUCGGUUGAGCGUCUGACUUCAGCUCAGGUCAUGAUCUCAUGGUCCGGGCA